ACUUAUGAUCAGAUGGCAUUUUGAAAAACCCUAACAACAUUCACGCACACGACACCCCUAACCCUCACUCCCUGCUUCUCUCUCGUGACCAAGCACCGGCGACCGGAGGGCUCCGACCGGCCAUCGGUCUUCUUGCACCUCCGACAAACCCCCCAAACAAACACCUGCCACCCCCUAGCUGUUAUACUCGCACAACACCCCCUGCUCACGAUUAACGACCAACCACCACCCUCGGGUGGUGGCUUAAGACGGCAAACGGUGGACAUCAGAGAACCAGAGAGAGGUGUGACGAAAAGGAGAGAAAUCGGGGAAGAAAGGGGACACAGCGGCAGCGGCGGCGGUGCCUCGAUGGUGUACGGACAACAUGUAAAGGUCAUCUUCAUCUCGUUUUCUUCUAGAUUCGACCCCAAAACCUCGAUUUUCGGCCGAUUUUCCGGUGAAAUGAUGAAGAUGAUGAUGAUACGAGAUGACGGUGAUGAUUAUGAUGUGUUGGGGUGGCCGACGGCGGCACCAUCGGAGCUACAACAGCGGCGGCGACAGUGAAUAGGUCCUGCUUAGACUCGGUUUCGAUUCAAGUCGUGGACUCGGUUCCAGUGGUUGGUUAGUAUGGUUGCUUUACUUCGAGUUCGGGUCGGCGAAGGUGGUUCAACCUUCAGUUCGGUUUGGUUCAGGAUCGGUUAAAUUAAACACCAGUUUAGGUGACGGAAUCAGGUUCAAUGGAAGCGGAAGUGUUUGGUCCGAGUUACUUUGUAGCAGUUGGGUUCGGGUCUCGGUUCAGAGACUUCGGGUCACGGUUCACGCCAGUGGGUUCGGUUCGGUCAACAUAAGUCAGCAGCGGUUAGGUUCAUGGUUCGGGUUGACUCGGUCAAACCGAGUCAACUCGGGCAUACCUGGUCAACUCAGUUCAGUUUUGGUCAACGCCCGGUCAACUCAGGACCCGGUAAAGUUUAGACGUAGCGAGAUAAUUUUUCGUUAUCUUUAGAUUUUUAUUUUACGCGAACCGAGCUGGACCCGACUAAAUAACGUUUAUACAUUAGUGAUUAAUUACGUUUUGGAAUUUGACAAAAGUUAUAUAUAUUGAUUGUUGAA
Helianthus annuus (common sunflower) is the source of this 1089-nucleotide long non-coding RNA. RefSeq lists it as uncharacterized. NCBI's taxonomy places the organism in Eukaryota, Viridiplantae, Streptophyta, Magnoliopsida, Asterales, Asteraceae. The transcript is spliced from 2 exons. The record is from RefSeq and is a predicted model, not a curated record.